GGGAGGUAGUGACAAUAAAUAACAAUACAGGGUUCUUUUGGAUCUUGUAAUUGGAAUGAGUACAAUUUAAAUCUCUUAACGAGGAACAAUUGGAGGGCAAGUCUGGUGCCAGCAGCCGCGGUAAUUCCAGCUCCAAUAGCGUAUAUUAAAGUUGUUGCAGUUAAAAAGCUCGUAGUUGAAUUUCGGGAUCAAGGGAUCGGUCAUGCCUUGGUAUGUACUGGUUUCAUUGGUUCUCACCUUCUAAAGAACCAUGAUGUCAUUCAUUUGAUGUUAUGGGAAAUUAGGACUGUUACCUUGAAAAAAUUAGAGUGUUUAAAGCAGGCUUUACGCUUGAAUACAUUAGCAUGGAAUAAUGAAAUAGGACAUCCGAUUCUAUUUUGUUGGUUUCUAGGAUCGAUGUAAUGAUUAAUAGGGAUAGUUGGG
RNAcentral lists this ribosomal RNA (423 nucleotides) under uncultured Glomeraceae. RNAcentral describes it as "SSU rRNA". It matches the Rfam family "Eukaryotic small subunit ribosomal RNA", at positions 459 to 886 of the family's 1831-position model. Lineage: Eukaryota; Fungi; Glomeromycota; Glomeromycetes; Glomerales; Glomeraceae. The record is from RNAcentral.